This 666-nucleotide ribosomal RNA is filed under the name uncultured Ralstonia sp. Its description in RNAcentral is "bacterial SSU rRNA". It matches the Rfam family "Bacterial small subunit ribosomal RNA", at positions 94 to 756 of the family's 1533-position model. The record is from RNAcentral. Lineage: Bacteria; Pseudomonadati; Pseudomonadota; Betaproteobacteria; Burkholderiales; Burkholderiaceae.
AGUGGCGAACGGGUGAGUAAUACAUCGGAACGUGCCCUGUAGUGGGGGAUAACUAGUCGAAAGAUUAGCUAAUACCGCAUACGACCUGAGGGUGAAAGUGGGGGACCGCAAGGCCUCAUGCUAUAGGAGCGGCCGAUGUCUGAUUAGCUAGUUGGUGAGGUAAAGGCUCACCAAGGCGACGAUCAGUAGCUGGUCUGAGAGGACGAUCAGCCACACUGGGACUGAGACACGGCCCAGACUCCUACGGGAGGCAGCAGUGGGGAAUUUUGGACAAUGGGCGAAAGCCUGAUCCAGCAAUGCCGCGUGUGUGAAGAAGGCCUUCGGGUUGUAAAGCACUUUUGUCCGGAAAGAAAUGGCUCUGGUUAAUACCUGGGGUCGAUGACGGUACCGGAAGAAUAAGGACCGGCUAACUACGUGCCAGCAGCCGCGGUAAUACGUAGGGUCCAAGCGUUAAUCGGAAUUACUGGGCGUAAAGCGUGCGCAGGCGGUUGUGCAAGACCGAUGUGAAAUCCCCGAGCUUAACUUGGGAAUUGCAUUGGUGACUGCACGGCUAGAGUGUGUCAGAGGGGGGUAGAAUUCCACGUGUAGCAGUGAAAUGCGUAGAGAUGUGGAGGAAUACCGAUGGCGAAGGCAGCCCCCUGGGAUAACACUGACGCUCAUGCACGA